Molecule: long non-coding RNA, 411 nt
Filed under: Ananas comosus (pineapple)
Lineage: Eukaryota; Viridiplantae; Streptophyta; Magnoliopsida; Poales; Bromeliaceae
Description: long non-coding RNA (ACOM_LNC032723)
Source: RNAcentral
AAGCAACAUAAGCUUAAUUAAAAACAAGGCUAAAUUACAUAAAACCCUCGUGUCAAAACCGAAUUUUUCACUUUCCCCCCUUUGUCAUUUAAAAACCUACACUUUGCCCCCUUGUAAAAUGAGAAAUGUUCACUUCGCCUCCAACCGUUAGUAAUCCGUUAGGGUUUCGUUUAUAGAAUAUUAUUAUAUAUUUUUUUAUGCCAAAAAUACCCUCAACUUUCUCUCUUGUGAAUAUGGUGAGGGGCAAAAUUGUCAUUUUAUCAUCGCAGUUCACACCGUAUCCCUGUGAACAUUUUUCAUUUACAAGGGGGGAAAGUGAAAAAUUAGAUUUUGACCGGAGGGUUUUCUGUAAUUUAGCCUAAAAACAAACUAUAAAGUAAUUGAAAUUAAAAGACGUAUUUUGCUCUAAAG